GCCCUUGUAGCUCAGUGGAAGAGCGCCGAUCUUGUAAAUCGGAUGUCCGGGGUUCGAUUCCUCGUUGGGGCUC
This 73-nucleotide transfer RNA is filed under the name Mycobacterium phage ScoobyDoobyDoo. Its description in RNAcentral is "tRNA-Thr". It matches the Rfam family "tRNA". Rfam says of the family: Transfer RNA (tRNA) molecules are approximately 80 nucleotides in length. The record is from RNAcentral. Lineage: Duplodnaviria; Heunggongvirae; Uroviricota; Caudoviricetes.